Molecule: ribosomal RNA, 327 nt
Filed under: Euacasta sporillus
Lineage: Eukaryota; Metazoa; Arthropoda; Thecostraca; Balanomorpha; Balanidae
Description: partial large subunit ribosomal RNA
Source: RNAcentral
GGUAUGAAUGGCUAAACGAGAAAUAGACUUUUUUUGUUAUAAAAAUCGAAUUUAAUUUUUUAGUGAAAAAGCUAAAAUAAUUCAGAAAGACGAGAAGACCCUAUAGAGUUUUAUGUUUGAUAAUUAUUUUUCUUAUUUGAUUUUUUCAGAUUAAUAGUUUAAAAGUAUUUUGUUGGGGCGACAUUAAGAUAUAAAAAACUCUUUAUUUUAAAAAUUUUUAUGGAAAGUUAGUUUGAUCCUUUAAAAAAGAUCAAAAGAAAAAAUUACCUUAGGGAUAACAGCGUAAUCUUUUUUGAGAGUUCUAAUCGACAAAAAGGUUUGCGACCU